CCUACGGGUGGCAGCAGUAGGGAAUCUUCCACAAUGGGCGAAAGCCUGCUGGAGCAACGCCGCGUGGGUGAAGAAGGUCUUCGGAUCGUAACACCCUGUUGUUAGAGAAGAAAGUGCGUGAGAGUAACUGUUCACGUUUCGACGGUAUCUAACCAGAAAGCCACGGCUAACUACGUGCCCACAGCCGCGGGAAUACGUAGGUGGCAAGCGUUAUACGGAUUGAUUGGGCGUAAAGGGAACGCAGGCGGUCUUUUAAGUCUGAUGUGAAAGCCUUGGGCUUAACCGGAGUAGUGCAUUGGAAACUGGGAGACUUGAGUGCAGUAGAGGAAGGUGGAA
RNAcentral lists this ribosomal RNA (336 nucleotides) under uncultured bacterium. RNAcentral's name for it is "partial 16S ribosomal RNA". It matches the Rfam family "Bacterial small subunit ribosomal RNA", at positions 338 to 666 of the family's 1533-position model. The record is from RNAcentral.